GAUGAACGCUGACAGAAUGCUUAACACAUGCAAGUCAACUUGAAUUUGGGUUUUUAACUUCGGUUUGGGUGGCGGACGGGUGAGUAACGCGUAAAGACCUUGCCUCACAGCUAGGGACAACAUUUGGAAACGAAUACUAAUACCUAAUAUUAUAAUAAUAGUGCAUCCUAUAAUUAUGAAAGCUAUAAGCGCUGUGAGAGAGCUUUGCGUCACAUUAGCUAGCUGGAGAGGUAACGGCUCACCAAGGAGAUGAUGGGUAGCCGGCCUGAGAGGGUGAUCGGCCACAAGGGGACUGAGACACGGCCCGUACUCAAACGGGAGGCAGCAGUGCGGAAUAUUGGAAAAUGGACCAAGAGUCUGAUGCAGCAAUUCUGUGUGCACGAUGAAGUUUUUCGGAAUGUAAAGUGCUUUCAGUUGGGAAGAAAGAAAUGACGGUACCAAAAGAAGAAGUGACGGCUAAAUACGUG
RNAcentral lists this ribosomal RNA (467 nucleotides) under uncultured bacterium. Its description in RNAcentral is "partial 16S ribosomal RNA". It matches the Rfam family "Bacterial small subunit ribosomal RNA", at positions 28 to 507 of the family's 1533-position model. The record is from RNAcentral.